Molecule: long non-coding RNA, 2741 nt
Organism: Phocoena sinus (vaquita)
Lineage: Eukaryota; Metazoa; Chordata; Mammalia; Artiodactyla; Phocoenidae
Source: Ensembl
GCGGCCCUGGUCGGCGCUCGCCCCUUGGGUGAGCGGGGAAGGCUGAGGCCGGACCCGCACCCAACGUUUGGGGGCCGGAGCAAUACGUGGACGCCACGUCGGCCUUGUCACUGACCCCACCGGAACCCAGCCUGAGAGAAGCGCGAGUUGUGGGUGCCACAACUCGGGGCUGCGGGGGUGACCGGGUAGAGAGGUGGAGCCAGCAGGGAAAAUGUCUUUGAGGAGGUGAUGGUGAAAUUGAAGUCAAGAAAAUGAGGAGAUAGCUUUGGGAAAAGCCAAGGAGAGACAUUCCAAGUCAAGAACAGUUUGUGCCGAGGCCCUGAGAAAGGGGCUUGCCUGAUGGCGCAGUGGUUAAGAAUCCGCCAGCCGGUGCAGGGGACAGGGUUUCAAUCCCUGGUCCGGGAAGAUCCCACAUGCCUCGGAGCAACUAAGCCCGUGUGCCACAACUCCUGAGCCUGCAUGCCACAACUACUGAAGCCCACGCGCCUAGAGCCCAUGCUCCACAACAAUAGAAGCCACUGCAAUGAGAAGCCCACGCACAGCAAUGAAGACCCAAUGCAGCCAAAAAUUAAUUAAUUUUAAAAAAAAGAAUUCUGUUUUAGUCAUGUUGAGUUGAGAUGCCCGUCAGAGAUCCAGUUCAAUUGUCCAGUCACUAGGUACUCAGAGGAGAGGCCUGGGCUGGGGGUGGGGCUUUGGGAGGCAUCAUUUUAAUGAUGGUAAACACCUUGGGAUCUGAGGGAGUCACCUAGGUUGAGGAGGUAGAUGCAGAAGAGGAGAGGGUUCAAGAGGGACCCAGAGGAGUCAGAGGAGCCAGAGCAGGAAAGAAGACUGAAAAAGAGGCUGGGGAGGCGAAAGGAGAACCGGGAGAGUGCUAUGUCCCGGAGACUGACAAAGCAGUGUUUCCAGAAAAGAGUGGUCAGCUGUGCUAGAUGCUACUUACAGCUCAGAUAAGAUGAAGAAAGGGAACGAUCCUUUGACUCUGGCCACAUAAAUGUCAUUGGUGCACAUGAUAAGGACAGUGUUCCAGGAGUAGUGGGGUGGCAGCCAGACCAUGGUAGAGCUAUAGUGUUUGGACAGUUUGUCCAACAGGGAACACAGAACAGGGAGAGGUCUAGAAAGGGAUGUGGAAUCAUAGGAGGCUUUGCCAGAGAAUGCUAGAUGACCCUAAUAGCCAUUCUCCCCCAUUUCCUUUAUUAUAGACUUUCCAGUUCUAGCUGGCCACAUGGCUUGCCUGAAUAAAAGCAAGCCUCUAGGACUCCCUCAUGGCUGCGUGUGGUCACAUGACUCAGUUCCAGCCAACAGGAAGAAAGUGGAGGUGUCCACAUGGAACUUUUGAGAAGUAGCUUUAAAGGGAAGUGGUGUGCUUAUCUCAGCCAUUGCUCUCUCCUGCUCACUGGAAUAUGUAAAUAGAGCUGCAGACAGCCUGUUGAACUUUGAAGCCAUAGCCAUGUGUUGAGGAUGUUAGUGCAACAAGUUAGAAUAAAUCCGGGUUCCUAAUGUUUAGGGAGCCACCGUACGUGCUCUGGACUAUUACCUCUUGAUUUUGUAUUUGAGAAAAAGAAAUUUCUGUCUUGUUUAAUCCUCUGUUUUCCAGUGCUCAUAGCCAUAUCUAAUUUUUACUUCUGUUAGGAUACAAAGGGUUUUGUUAAAAUAUGGAAGAUACUAGAGCAGGUUUGAAGAGUGAUAGGAAUGAUGCAGGAGUGAUGAUUCUGAAGAAAAGGUGGAAGAUGUUAUGUGAGCAUGAAUGGUGAGGACACCUCUGGUAGAGGGAUGACUCCACCAUUAUUAAAAAGGGGGGUGUGGAGACAGAGAAGAUGUUUCCAGUGAAAGUUGCAAUUGGAAAGAUGAUCAUCCACACCUGAUGAUUUCUGGUUAACCCUGGAUGUGAAGGAGGUCAUGAGCCUAGAACAAGGAGGAGAGAGUAAGGCCAGCUUUGUGAAUCAUGGACCCGAUGAUGUUGGAGGUCCUGCCAGGCUGAGCAGCCUCAGGGAGACAGCUGCUUUCUGGAACAGUUGGCCACACUGCUGCAGGGCAUGAAGAGGGUGAGGGGAGUGCCCACAAAACCAGCAAGGCCUCCACCCCUCCCCCCGCAGGCCUCACUGACAGUUACUUAUGACACUCGCCUGCCAUUUCCAGCUGCCCUUUGAGACCCGCCAACUUUACCUGACCCAUUUUUACAAUAAUACGGGGUGGCUUCAGAAAGCAUCAGGGACACUCAAAGCAGGGCAGACCCAUUUUCUCUUCCUUUCUUAAAAAGUAAAAAGAAUUGCAGUGGUGAUCAUUUUGAAAUGUAUAGAAAUAUCAGACCUCUAUGUUAUGCACCAGGAACUGCCAUAGUGUUGUAGGUCAGUUAUAUACUUCAAAAAGCAAACAAGCUCAUAGAAAAAGAGAUCAGAUGUGUGGUUACCAGAGGUGGGGAGGGGUGGGGAGAAGGGGAAUUGGAUGAAGGUGGUCAAAAGGUACAAAAUUACAGUUGUGAAAUAAAGAAGUACUAGGGAUGUCAUGUACAACAUGAUUAAUUAACACUGCUGUAUGUUACAUAUAAAAGUUCAGAAAGUAAAUCCUAAGAGUUCUCAUCAUAAGGAAAAUUUUUUUUUAAUUUUUCUUUUAUUUUGUAUCUGUAUGAGUUGAUGGACGGUCACUAAACUUAUUGUAAUCAUGAUGUAUGUAAGUCAUAUCAUUUUGCCAUAUACCUUGAACUUACACAGUGCUGUAUGUCAGUUACAUCUCAAUAAAACUGG